AACACAUGCAAGUCGAACGCAGUAGCAAUACUGAGUGGCAGACGGGUGAGUAACAUGUGGGAAUCUGCCUUGUGGUUCAGGACAACAUUGGGAAACCGAUGCUAAUACUGGAUAAGCCCUUACGGGGAAAGUUUUAAUGCCAUAAGAUGAGCCCGCAUUUGAUUAGUUAGUUGGUGAGGUAAUGGCUCACCAAGACAAUGAUCAAUAGCUGAUCUGAGAGGAUGAUCAGCCACACUGGGACUGAGACACGGCCCAGACUCCUACGGGAGGCAGCAGUGGGGAAUCUUGCACAAUGGAGGAAACUCUGAUGCAGCGAUGCCGCGUGAGUGAAGAAGGCCUUUGGGUUGUAAAGCUCUUUUGUAGGGGAAGAUAAUGACUGUACCCUAAGAAUAAGGUCCGGCUAACUUCGUGCCAGCAGCCGCGGUAAUACGAAGGGACCUAGCGUAGUUCGGAAUUACUGGGCGUAAAGCGCGCGUAGGCCGUUGAGUUAGUUAAUUGUGAAAUCCCAAAGCUUAACUUUGGAACUGCAAUUAAAACUGCUCGACUAGAGUUUGAUAGAGGAAAGCGGAAUACAUAGUGUAGAGGUGAAAUUCGUAGAUAUUAUGUAGAACACCAGUUGCGAAGGCGGCUUUCUGGAUCAACACUGACGCUGAGGCGCGAAAGUAUGGGUAGCAAAGAGGAUUAGAUACCCUCGUAGUCCAUACCAUAAACGAUGAUUGCUAGAUGUUGGAAAUUUAUUUUCAGUAUCGCAGCUAACGCAUUAAGCAAUCCGCCUGGGGAGUACGACCGCAAGGUUAAAACUCAAAUGAAUUGACGG
This 817-nucleotide ribosomal RNA is filed under the name uncultured bacterium. RNAcentral's name for it is "bacterial SSU rRNA". It matches the Rfam family "Bacterial small subunit ribosomal RNA", at positions 50 to 916 of the family's 1533-position model. The record is from RNAcentral.